RNAcentral lists this ribosomal RNA (745 nucleotides) under uncultured archaeon. RNAcentral's name for it is "bacterial SSU rRNA". It matches the Rfam family "Archaeal small subunit ribosomal RNA", at positions 53 to 804 of the family's 1478-position model. The record is from RNAcentral.
GCGAGUCAUUGUAGCAAUACAAGGCAGACGGCUCAGUAACGCGUAGUCAACCUACCCUAUGGACGGGGAUAACCUCGGGAAACUGAGAAUAAUACCCGAUAGAACAUUAUGCCUGGAAUGGUUUAUGUUUCAAAUAAUUUAUUGCCGUAGGAUGGGACUGCGGCCUAUCAGUUUGUUGGUAAGGUAAUGGCCCACCAAGACUAUUACAGGUACGGGCUCUGAGAGGAGUGGCCCGGAGAUGGGUACUGAGACACGGACCCAGGCCCUAUGGGGCGCAGCAGGCGAGAAGACUUUGCAAUGUGCGAAAGCACGACAAGGUUAAUCCGAGUGGUUUCUGCUAAAGGAACCUUUUGACAGUCCUAGAAACACUGUUGAAUAAGGGGUGGGCAAGUUCUGGUGUCAGCCGCCGCGGUAAAACCAGCACCUCAAGUGGUCAGGAUGAUUAUUGGGCCUAAAGCAUCCGUAGCCGGCUCUGUAAGUUUUCGGUUAAAUCUGUACGCUUAACGUACAGGCUGCUGGGAAUACUGCAGAGCUAGGGAGUGGGAGAGGUAGACGGUACUCGGGAGGAAGUGGUAAAAUGCUUUGAUCUCUCGAUGACCACCUGUGGCGAAGGCGGUCUACCAGAACACGUCCGACGGUGAGGGAUGAAAGCUGGGGGAGCAAACCGGAUUAGAUACCCGGGUAGUCCCAGCUGUAAACUAUGCAAACUCAGUGAUGCACUGGCUUGUGGCCAGUGCAGUGUUGC